Molecule: ribosomal RNA, 820 nt
Filed under: Pseudomonas sp. Z10(2010)
Lineage: Bacteria; Pseudomonadati; Pseudomonadota; Gammaproteobacteria; Pseudomonadales; Pseudomonadaceae
Description: bacterial SSU rRNA
Rfam family: Bacterial small subunit ribosomal RNA
Source: RNAcentral
CCUAGGAAUCUGCCUGGUAGUGGGGGACAACGUUUCGAAAGGAACGCUAAUACCGCAUACGUCCUACGGGAGAAAGCAGGGGACCUUCGGGCCUUGCGCUAUCAGAUGAGCCUAGGUCGGAUUAGCUUGUUGGUGAGGUAAUGGCUCACCAAGGCGACGAUCCGUAACUGGUCUGAGAGGAUGAUCAGUCACACUGGAACUGAGACACGGUCCAGACUCCUACGGGAGGCAGCAGUGGGGAAUAUUGGACAAUGGGCGAAAGCCUGAUCCAGCCAUGCCGCGUGUGUGAAGAAGGUCUUCGGAUUGUAAAGCACUUUAAGUUGGGAGGAAGGGCAGUAAGUUAAUACCUUGCUGUUUUGACGUUACCGACAGAAUAAGCACCGGCUAACUCUGUGCCAGCAGCCGCGGUAAUACAGAGGGUGCAAGCGUUAAUCGGAAUUACUGGGCGUAAAGCGCGCGUAGGUGGUUUGUUAAGUUGGAUGUGAAAGCCCCGGGCUCAACCUGGGAACUGCAUCCAAAACUGGCAAGCUAGAGUACGGUAGAGGGUGGUGGAAUUUCCUGUGUAGCGGUGAAAUGCGUAGAUAUAGGAAGGAACACCAGUGGCGAAGGCGACCACCUGGACUGAUACUGACACUGAGGUGCGAAAGCGUGGGGAGCAAACAGGAUUAGAUACCCCUGGUAGUCCACGCCGUAAACGAUGUCAACUAGCCGUUGGAAUCCUUGAGAUUUUAGGGGCGCAGCUAACGCAUUAAGUUGACCGCCUGGGGAGUACGGCCGCAAGUUAAAACUCAAAUGAAUUGACGGGGGCCCGCACAAGCGG